This 242-nucleotide long non-coding RNA is filed under the name Homo sapiens (human). RNAcentral's name for it is "non-protein coding LINC01503:14". Lineage: Eukaryota; Metazoa; Chordata; Mammalia; Primates; Hominidae. The record is from RNAcentral.
UGUGUACCUACGUGUCAGGCCCAUCCUUCCUGCAGGCCUUUGUCUUGGUGUCACCCUGCCUGAGCUGGCCCCAACCACAGUAGCAACAGUGAUGCUGAUGUGUGACUGCUGCCAGGAGCCUGCUCACAUGACCGUGUGGAGAAAGUUCUUUCCCUGAGGACCAUCUGGAGUGGACGCGUGCACUACCCCUCUCUGAAUACACCCUCCCCACGAGGCCCUCUGGAGCAUCCUGUAGAGCCAGC